UCAGCGGUACAGAAAGCAGCGGUGAAGCAGUGUCGUCUGUCGUGACUCACCACACUGAUUCGUGGCAAAUGCUUCAUAACACUGAAUGAACCAUUUCGACACGUUGCUUGAUAUAUAUUUACUGCUUCAGAAAGCUAAGGUUUCUCCAUCACUAGUACGACCCUAAUUUCCAAAUGUUCCACGUGACGUUGAGACGUGUUUGAUGCACGAAUUCUUCUUUGUUUGUAUGUUUGUUUUCUUUUGAUGCACGAGUUCUUUAGAGCGUCAUCCUCCAGCCUUUGUGUCGUUGGACGUGCGUGCGUGCGUGCGUGACGUAGUCAAGCUUGUGUGUCUGUCACAGAGCGAAAGAGGCUUGCGUCGUAUUAAAUUCUCCUCUGAAGUUUAUCUGGCUGAUCUUCUAUCUGGACCUGAGAGAUGAAGAAGGCACAAUCGCUCCUUUUCCAAGCGUUGACCGUGCUUGGCAUUUGGGCUUCGCUUGGUGAGUUCACGUUUUUAUUUGACUUCAAGGUUCACUGCAAACGUUGUUGGGACUGGAUUUGUUUCUUCAGAUCAUUAGGGGAUCAAUAUAAAAGGGCAUUUUAUUGGCCCCACCUCGGGGAAAUGUAUACUUGUCAGAUUACUAGACAUAUUAAGCAAACUGUCAGUCUCAUUUGAAACAAUGGAAACAAUACAUAAUACAUCCGCGGUUUUGAGACACUUUCUGAUCCGACUGUGAACUUUUGAAAAAAGGGUGUAGUAAAGCCUAUUUAAAACUAACGACUGACUUUAAGCAUUGAUAUACCACUCAUUUAACUCACUGACCGCCACUGACUGAAAACCUGAAACAUUCACUUCGGUUUGCCUUGGAAGGCUGCAAAUGGAUUGGACGUCUAGCACCGUCAUUGGCACAGAAACGUGAGAAUCCAUAGCCAGUCCUCCCAGUUAAGAAUAAGCGCACUUCUGUUGUUGUCAGUAGUAAGCUAAACGAACCAAAAUUAUACAUUAAUACAAAUGUAUAUAUAUAACUAUUUUAAAACUAUUAAAAUUAUUAUGAAUUAAAAAAAAAUAACACUAAAUAUUACUAUUAAAUUGUAUAAUAAUAAUUUUAAUUUAAUAAUAAUAAAUUUAAUAAAUUCAUAAUAAUUUAUUUUUUAAUUUAAUUUUAUAGUAUUAUAUAAUACUAUAUUAUUAGUAGUAGUAGUAUUACUAAAUAUAAUAACACUAAAUAUAUAAUACUAAGUAUUGACUAAUGGCAGUUAAAUACUCUUGUAGUUUAGUUUUAGUUUUAUACUAAAGGGUCAUAGUAUUUACCUAUGAUAUAAAUAAAUAUCUACUUUUUUUAAUUCCAUUAUAAUCUUAAUGAUUUUUUAAUCAAUAAAUUAUCAAUAAACCCAAUAGAUUUGUAUUAAUGUAUAAUUGUAUUUUUUCAUAUAUAAAUAAAAUUAACAUUAAAAAAUAAAAAAUAAAUACAUAUAUGUUACAGUUCUACAUGGACUGAGGUUUUCAAUGCAACGCUUCACAUUCCAGGUGUUUUGUUUCACAUUGCGAGAUGGAUAAUUUUGUAUGUGGUGCUUGUGUGUGUGUUUUGUCAUAAUGUAUCAAACGUAGGAAGAGAAUGUCCAAAAGACAUGUGCUUCAACACAACAGAAAACUUAGCUCCAAAACCAUUGUCUGUGAUCUCAAUUGAUCUGGAUCAUGAAUACAUAUAGGUUGAGGUGCUGGAGGGGGAGGGAUAAUUGAACUUUUAAUGACCGAAGGGAAAACAAACAACAACAAAAAACCUGCAGUUGAACACAAUCUUGAUGACUUUUACAAUUGUUGUUACAAUAUGAUUAACACCCCCCACCAACACAAACCUAUAUAAAGACAAACCGAACACUUUAAAAUGCAACUUUUUUUCACCUCGACCUAUAACCUUACUCACCUUGUCUUCACUGAUGCAAAAGCAUCUAUUGCACUUUCAUAUGACAGUUGUUUUGGAAGGGCACUUCUUUCCUGGACUUGGUGGGCUUGGACUUGGUGCUGAUGUGGAUAAGUUCGCUGUAAAAUGACACAUUUCAAAGACAACCCUAUGCUGAGAGCUACAAACUCUUUUGUGAACAAGUGAUCCGUCAAAGGAUUAUCGUUGACAAAGAAGUGCUCAGAAUGGACAAGCCAAGAAGGUUGUUCGUGAACAUCGUGAAGAACCAUGAGGAUCUUGAUGCUUCAGACUACAGGCGGGAUAUGCUGAAAAGAAGAUUGAAGUGUGAUUUCCCCCAAUUAGUUUUUUAUGGGGAGAGAUUUGUCUCAAAAAUAUUCUCACAAAUGCUUUCGCGAUUCACACAUAUCUUUUGUAGAUGCACAAAUAUAUCAGAGAUUUUCACAUGUAUUUUCGAGAUCCACAAAUAUAUCCAUGAGUUUCACAUGUGUUUUUGUAAUUCACAAGUAUAUCCUCGAAAUUCACAUGUGUUUUUUUUAUGUAGUGCGUGCACUCAUCAUGAAUUAUUGUUUGUAAGCAUUCGAAUUGUAUAUGGGAAUCAGCGGCCGAGUGCAUUUAUUUUUGAGACAAACAUAACAAGAAACGGUCAAAUUUUCUCACACAAGCGCAUUUGCGAUUCACACUUGUGUUUUUCGAAUUCACAAAUACAUCCGCGAUUCUCACAAAUACAUUAGUGAUUUUCACACGUGUUUUUCAGAUCCACAAAUACGUCCGCGUUUUCCUCGUGUGUUUUUUAAAUCCACAAAUACUUCCGCAAAUGUCGCAUGUUUUUUUUAAUGAUGUGCGCGCAAUUAUCAUGACUUGACAUUUUUUAAGCAUUCAGUUUUGCUUGUGAAUUGCUGGAGCUGUGUUUUUUUUGUUUUUGUUUUUUUUUUUAAACAGCGAACACGCGCAUUUCUUUUUGAGACAAACGUCACUCGAUGUUUCACCAAGAUUUUCUCACACACAGUAAACCAAGAAUUUUCACGUGUCUCAAAUAACCUCCGCCUCAGUCCGAUAGGCGGCAGUAUUGAGCGCAUAGAAAGGUCAAAAGUGCCCAUCAACACAGAUGGCAAAUGGUGUUCUACUUAUGUAGCGCUUUUCCACCUUUCAAGGCGCUCAAAGCGCUUUACACUACAUCGCCAUCUACAUACAGGUGACGCAGCACCAGGAGCAAUGUGGGGUUCAGUAUCUUGCUCAAGGAUACUUAGGCGAGUUCAUCAGGGCAGAGAAUUGCACAACCUCUGGGUUGGGGGACAACUACUCUACCGCAGAGCCACGCCAUCCCCAUCCCCAGAUCACAUACGGACACCUAGCGGGUGACAUUACACCGGGCAACAGAUAAACAGGUGUCUUGGGUCCGUUGGAAAACCUACCCUAUUCCAUUUUUUGUUUUUAUGUGUGUUAAUAAAAAAAAAAUAAAAAAAAAAAGAGAAAUGAAUCAUCUCCCGUUUCCCAAUUAAAAACUGCUAAUUCAAUAACGGAAACGAGACUUAAUCCAUUUUACCAAUUAAUGGUUUUGAGCUGAAGUCGAAAAACAAAAUAUGUCCAAUAUUUGUUUUUAUUAACAAAAAAAAAAAAAACAACAGCACAAAUAUGCCAGGGGGUUAUAAACAUUUCAAACAUUGCACAUCAGGAAAAUAACAAAACAAAACACAAACAAAAAAACAAUGAAUAAUGCUGUGAGCAAUUAUUCACAAAGAGAUUCAAGUUUUUCCACAAAUAUUGUUAUUUUCCGCUUUUAGAUUAUUUGAUUUUUUAAACAGAUUUAUGUAGCACACAGUCUCGUUAUGAAAGUGAGAAAAAGAAGGUAACAGCUUGCUAAAUUUACAUUUGUGUAGGUAGAAUUUCGACAAAAUGACAAGAUUAAUAAUAGAAACAAUCUCUUUCUUGAGAUUCUUAUAGAAACAAAAACAAAAAAGACAUUUUCCCAUUUGAGUUUGAAGUCCACAUGUGUAGGCUCCUGAUUCUGAACUUGCAAAGUUCUUUCCAAAAUUUAUUGGAAAAAGAGCAGGUCCAAAAAAGGUGCUGAACUGUCUCUGUAUCAAUGUCCCACUUUAAUUUUUUUCAUGUAGUGGUUUGCAGGAUAGUACUUAUCUAUAGAUAAUUUUGAAAGCGACUUCUUUGACCUUACUUGUCAACCGAAACAUAUUGGGGAUAGUCCAUACUUAGGCGUGGACCAAAUGAUAUCUCCAAAAAGACUUAACAUAUGCUUUGGAUCUAAUCUCGUUCUGAAAUAGAGAUCGAGUAUAUCUAUUCAAAUUUUUGUUAUGUAGUAAACAUAAUUUCCCCACACUUGAAUUUAGUAUAUUUGGAGGAGAUAAAGUUUGAAAUGGCAUGUUUACAUUUCUGCACAGCAUAAUGAAUCCUGAAGGAAUCGCAUCAUCAACACUAGCAUAUUGCUUAGGUCUAACUGGUAACUGAAAAUAAUCCCAAAACUCCGCGUAAAACAUAGGUGCCAUUAAAAAGUUGUGACACAAAAAGUGUCUUCUGCCUCUAAUUGUCCAAAAAUAAAGAUUUGUUUUUGCAAAGAAUUCAAUGAGCCAUGACCCGGAAGACGAGGCCUUAUUGAAGAAAAACAUCGUUUUCCGGUUCAAGGCUCAUUGUAAAAGCGAACUCGGAGGAAAACAAAUAUUGGUCGUAUUUUGUUUUUCGACUUCAGUUCAAUAAAUUGACAUUGUAAAAACGGAUUAAGGUUCGUUUUUCGUUUUUUAUUUUCCAAAAUUAGAAGGAAAAACAAACGGCCUCAAGGUACACGGACAGUCUUGAUAGUUCUUGAAGUUUGGGAAUCAUACUUUUAUAGUCUAUGCGCUCAAAACUGCCACCUAUCAGAUGAAGGCGGAGGUUAUUUGAGACACGUGAAAAUUCUCGGCUUACUGUGUGUGAGAAAAUCUUGGUGAAACAUCGAGUGACGUUUGUCUCAAAAAGAAAUGCGCGUGUUUGCUGUUAAAGAACACAGCUCCAGCAAUUCACAAGCAAAAUUGAAUACUUAAAAAAUGUCAAGUCAUGAUAAUUGCACGCACAUCAUUAAAAAACAUGCGAAACUUGCGGAAGUAUUUGUGGAUUUGAAAAACACUUGUGGAAAACGCGGACGUAUUUGUGGAUCUGAAAAACGCGUGUGAAAAUCACUCAUGUAUUUGUGAGAAUCGCGGAUGUAUUUGUGAAUUUGAAAAACACGUGUGAAUCGCCAAUGCACUUGUUCUUGUUAUGUUUGUCUCAAAAAUAAAUGCACGCGGCCGCUGAUUCACAAAUACAAUUCGAAUGUUUGCAAACAAUAAUUCAUGAUGAGUGCACGCACAACAUUAAAAAACACAUGUGAAUUUCGAGGAUAUAUUAGUGGAUUACAAAAACACAUGUGAAACUCAUGGAUAUAUUUGUGGAUCUCGAAAAUACAUGUGAAAAUCUUGGAUAUAUUUGUGCAUCGACAAAAGAUAUGUGUAAAUCGCGAAAGUAUUUGUGAGAAUAUUUUUGAGACAAAUCUCUCCCCAUAGUUUUUCACACCCCUUUCCAGCGCAACAUGUCUGAAAUGUUUUUUUUGUUUUUUUUGUUGGAGACUUUAUCAUCAACAGACAAACUUUUAGACAGGAUACCUCAGUCAUCAGGUACAUCAGCUACCGACUCUACUGAGGUAAGACAAGAAAGUGACACUGAACAAAUGGCUAGCACACCAUCUGGUUGGAAAUCCACAGAACAAAGAAGGACACUUUACAGUGCAGGGCUGCUAUUGAGGACCAUUCUAAGCGAAUCACCCUCACUGAAAUGCCCAUGGCCUCCCACAGCAGAAGAUUUAAAUGUAUGUGAAGCGAAAGCUGUUGUGCCUGUUGAACAGUACAAUCGAUUGGUGCAACAGAAGAACCAACACUAGCCGGCAAAAGGGCAAACUACGAGGCAGCAGUAAUGCGACAUUGUCUGACUGGUAUGAUGUGUGCCCCUUCACCAAUUGGCAAUGGAUGGGACAUUGAGGAUGGUGAAUUAACAGUAAAAUGGAUGACUAGAAAUCCUGCCCCAGAUAGUGUGCUACAGGUAAUCCACUGUGGUUGCAAGAUAAGCAAGUGUGAGACUGAAAGAUGUUCAUGCUUGUCUGCAAAAAUGUCCUGUACAGAUUUAUGCCACUGCCAGGACUGUGAAAAUAUUUCAAAGGAAAUGGGAUGAUGACACUGAUGAUACUGAUAUUGAUGAGUAAUCACCCACCAUCUCUCCUAUGUUUAGUUUCAUUAUCAAAAUGUUACUCUCCAUUUUAACACCUUUAAAACAACAACAAAAAAAGGCUCUUUUCCCUUUUCCAAAAAAAUAGACCUUUGUUCAAUUUGACUGCCAAAAAAGAUGGAUGUUCCAAUGAAGUGCUAUUGUUUUAUUGAGAGUGCACAUUUCAUAUAUGUGUGUGUAUAUAUAUAUAUAUAUAUAUAUAUAUAUAUGUGUGUGUGUAUAUAUAUAUAUGUGUGUGUGUAUAUAUAUAUAUGUGUGUGUGUAUAUAUAUAUAUGUGUGUGUAUAUAUAUAUAUAUAUGUGUGUGUAUAUAUAUAUAUAUGUGUGUGUGUGUAUAUAUAUAUAUAUGUGUGUGUGUAUAUAUAUAUAUGUGUGUAUAUAUAUAUAUAUGUGUGUAUAUAUAUAUAUGUGUGUGUAUAUAUAUAUAUAUAUAUAUGUGUAUAUAUAUGUGUAUAUAUAUAUAUAUAUAUAUGUAUAUAUAUAUAUAUGUAUAUAUAUAUAUACACACUGAUACACGGCCCAUGGGAAAACCCAUGGACAGUGUAUCAAAUACUUGUUCUCCCCACUCUAUACAUAUAUAUUCCUAGAUUUUGACAAAAUUGGUGCAGGGAAACGUUGGGUGAACUUUUAACCCAAAGUUCAGAAGGGUAUUAUCUUAUCAAAAAAUGCAUUGAACAAGUAGUGCCCAGACAGUGGAACGAAACCCAUUUUCUAGGCACUUUUUCAGGGUCCACCCCAAGGCCUAAUUCUAUUUAACACAAGACUUAUUUUUCAUCCCAUACAAUUUAUUUAGCAAUUGGGGGAAAUUACUUAGAUACAUACUGUAAAAAUAUUGGAGUAGAGAGAUAAAAACAAUGAUGACAUUUUGCUGCUGUCUGUUGCAUUUUCCGCGUUCUGAAUCUUCCCCAUUGGGCUGAUUUCUAAAUCAGCUGAAAUCGUUACUCUGCCGACGUCAUCACCUAGAUGGAGGCACUAGAGCAGGGUUCUCCAACCCAGUCCUCAAGGCACACUGUGGGUCCUGGUUUUUGUUCCAGCCGAUCCAGCAGAGGCAGUUGAGCCAAUGAGGCUUCUGCUAAAACAAGCCACACCUGACUGCAAUCAAGUGAUUGCACUUGUAAAACACCAGAUUGGGGAAAAAGUGUUGUCAUCUUGUUUGGUAGGAAUGAAAUCCUGCACCCACAGUGUGCCUUUGUGGAAUAGGUUGGGGACCCCUGCACUAGAGUGCUACAAUGAUAGGCGGGGCUAAACGGCAGAUUAAAAGAAACAUUUCUCUUCAUCUGCGCUUUGCCAAAUUGUUGUAUAUAGUCGAAUGAUCUCAAAAUAUGAUUUUAAUUCACAUAAUAAUGCUAUUUAAUUUCAUCGUGUCACAGGCGCUUUAAAAGUCAGUGAUUGCAGGACUGGUUUACUUUCAAAAAGUGCUUGAGCCGAGUUUUGAGGGUUUGUAUUGCGGGACACUCCCUGAUGGCCCUACUAUGACCCUAGUCAUGGGGGCGGGGGCAAAUCAAAUACUUAAAUAGUAUUUUUUUAAAUUAAGAAACAAAGCACAUGAAAAAAAAAUACAUAGUAAUGAAGUAAUAAAAUAGAAAUAAUUCUACAUGAAAUGAAAUUCAUUCUAAAAAAAAAAUCAAAACUUCAAAAUAUAAAUGAAAAAUUAUUGAAAUAAAUCAAGAUUAAAAAAAAAAAUAAUAAUAAUAACAUUAAUUCAAAUAAGUGUCCCAUGUGUGAAUUUUGCUGUGGGAAAGUUAUUCAUUUAAUUUUGUUUUGUUUGAUGAAUCUUGUGACCUCUCAUAUCUUAACUCUAUGGCUGCCUCUUACGGUAUUCAAUCCAUUUCAACUGAUUGUUCGAUCGCUUCCAGCCCCUCCCAGUUAAAAUGGAUUGGACGUCUAUCAAUAUCUUUUACUUAUUACCACAACAAAAAUUGUGACCUGGGCUGGCGGUGGUGAGGUAAACUAAUGAUAACUUUUGGAUAGAUGUCCACUGAUGUGACCACUGUAACCGAAAGGGUUAAACAUCAUCCUCAAAAAUAAAAAGUGCAAAUUACCACACAAAUGUUCCUUUUUGUGCUAUACACAAGUGUGGAUGCAACCCCGUUGGUUACAUAACUCUGUCGGAAUGGCUGACGGUUACCCAUUUGAUUAUUUCACCUUAUAACGCAUACUGUAGCUUGAUCUGAGGCUGAAAUGCAUCCCAACUCUUCUUUCUUGAUUUCUGUCCCAAUUUACAUCCAUUGUCCAGUUCACUGGCGCCUGUGGCACAGCUGUGAUGGUGUGUGAUGUAAUCCUACUUGGUUUAGUUAUUGUUGGGUAAAGAGACAUACUAUACAUUGUAUCCAAAAAAUUGUCCAUUGCUGCCAGUUUGCUUGGAUUUAAUAAAUCAAUAUUAAAAUCUCCACAGAUGAAGAAUGUUUUCUGCUUAAUAGUGGAAAACAAUUGGCUCAUCCAUUCAGUGAAGGAAUCAAUACAUGAACCCGGUGAUCGAUAGAUUCAACUGACAAUUAUAUUUUUCUUUUUUUCAUUGGAGAUCUCUAUUGUCAAACAUUCCAAGUGUUCUUGACAUAUCUAUUCAAUUCAAUUUUAUUUGUAUAGCCCUAAAUCACAACAAGGUUGUCUCAAAGGGCUUUGCAGAGGCAAUAUGAUACAAAAUCAGAAACAGCAAAUGAAGCAAUGAAGAUGAAUACAUACAUUUCAAGUCCUGGGCAUCCCCCAUCCUUAGACCCUCCAUGUCGGCAAGGAAAAACUCCAAAAACUCCAGAGUCUUUGGGAGAAAAUGAGAAACCUUGGGAAGUACCACACUGAGGAGAGAUCCACUCCCGGGACAGAUAGGCAGGGAGCACCAGUACUGCUAAUGGGAAUUAGCAGGCGAAGUUACAGUCCGUAAAGAUACAUUGGAGUAAAGGAACAAGAAGAGGUCCAUCUAGCCAGAUGAGACGGGGGUAGCAACGAGGACAUCCAUCCAGCCAGGGGUCCGGACAGUCAGGAGGCUGCAGCUGAAAAAGGGGUGGGGGGAAAGGGGAGACCGGGUGACGAGUGAUGAAGAGACUAGACAGAUAUUACCAUAUUACUAGAUAUUACCAUUGGAAAAUAGAAAUUAAGUAAGACAAGUGGUACUGUAGGUAGAGUGAGAAAAAGGAGAUAGAACUCAGUGGCUGUACUUCCCCCAGCAUUAUAGCUUCUAGUGCAGCUGUAUCUGUUAAUACCAUACAUUUAAUUGAUUUAUGAAUAUAUAGGGCAACUCCACCACCAGUUUUCUUUUCUCUAUGUAUUUUAAUUCGUAAUCAUCCAUAAGAAAAUCAAUACCUUUAUCAAUAUUAAACCACGUUUCUGUGAUCGCAAUUAUGCUGAAGGGGUGUGUAAAUUGGUGCAGAUAGUCUUUGGUAGAGCUGACAUUUUUGUACAUGCUUCUGCUGUUGAAAUGUAUAAUUGACAGUUUUGCCCAUUGAGUUGAUAUGAUUUUCAUACAGAUCUUGUGUAAAAAUAAUCGCAAUUGGUAACAGUAGAAGAAAAGAAAUGAUUGUCAGGAUCACUUUCUAUAUUAGGGACUCUUUUGUUGGACUCGUUGGAUUUAAAGGCCUCAAGUUCUAUUUGUUUGUUCUGAAGGGUUCGCAGAAGUGGAUCAAUGUCGCUCUUAUUCCUGAGUACAGUUCGUGUGUUUGAUGUAUCG
This is a long non-coding RNA of Corythoichthys intestinalis (scribbled pipefish), 9802 nucleotides long. RefSeq lists it as uncharacterized. The record is from RefSeq and is a predicted model, not a curated record. NCBI's taxonomy places the organism in Eukaryota, Metazoa, Chordata, Actinopteri, Syngnathiformes, Syngnathidae. The transcript is spliced from 4 exons.